This is a long non-coding RNA of Eurytemora carolleeae, 225 nucleotides long. RefSeq lists it as uncharacterized. The record is from RefSeq and is a predicted model, not a curated record. The transcript is spliced from 3 exons. NCBI's taxonomy places the organism in Eukaryota, Metazoa, Arthropoda, Copepoda, Calanoida, Temoridae.
UUUUUCAUCCAAAAGAUUUGGACCGACUACGGUUAGUACUAUCUGGACUACUGAGUACCCUAGAUCUACAGAGCAGAAAAAUGGAAGUAUUAUCUGGCACUAGUUCUAAAACUUUACUGUGGCAGUGUUUGUGUACCCUGAACAAGUCAACUGAUGUAGUGCAGAGAGCAAAUAAGAACUCAUUGAUGUACUAUACCUUAACAUACCUGGAGGAUACAAGGUAUA